AGUAAAAGUCCCACAUACAGGACAAUUGGCAUAGGAGUUCAGAGGAGGACAAGCUGGUAUUUUGCAGAGCUAAAAUAACGAGAUUUGUGCCUGAAGAUGCAUGGUUCUAUGCAGCCGUCCUUCAAAGCAAAUGAAGAAAAAGCCAGAGUCAACUACUAAUCUGCCCAGAUCAUGAAAUGCAGUAGCCACUUUACAUGUAAAACGCAAUCCAAAAUUUAGAUUAGUGUCUUCAAUUUUAAAACUAUCAUGAAAGAUGGAAUAUGAUAGCCUAAGCAAACUGUGUAACAUUGUUCCUUUACAGUUUGUUUCAACAUCUAUAUCAAUAAAUAAGCAAAACUGUAUUUCCAGUC
Molecule: long non-coding RNA, 350 nt
Organism: Rosa rugosa (rugosa rose)
Lineage: Eukaryota; Viridiplantae; Streptophyta; Magnoliopsida; Rosales; Rosaceae
Exons: 2
Source: RefSeq, a predicted model, not a curated record